This 1059-nucleotide ribosomal RNA is filed under the name uncultured crenarchaeote. RNAcentral's name for it is "bacterial SSU rRNA". It matches the Rfam family "Archaeal small subunit ribosomal RNA", at positions 281 to 1478 of the family's 1478-position model. Lineage: Archaea; Thermoproteati; Thermoproteota. The record is from RNAcentral.
CGCGGGAUUGCGGGGGCACGGGGGGACGGGGUGCAGCAGGCGCGAAACCUUUACAAUGCACGAAAGUGUGAUAAGGGGAUCCCAAGUGCUCAAGCUAUGCUUGGGCUUUUGCCAGGAGUAAAUAUCUUGGCGAAUAAGUGGUGGGAAAGACUGGUGCCAGCAGCCGCGGUAACACCAGCGCCACAAGUGGCAUACGUUUUUAUUGGGCCUAAAGCGUUCGUAGCUGGUUUGCUAAAUCUUUUGUGAAAUCAAGGGGCUUAACCUCUUGGCGUGCAGAAGAGACUGGCAGACUUGGAACCGGGAGGAGUCAGUGGUAUUUCGUGGGAAGCGGUAAAAUGCUGUAAUCCUCGGAGGACCACCUGUGGCGAAGGCGACUGACUAGAACGGAUUCGACAGUGAGGGACGAAGGCCAGGGGAGCGAACCGGAUUAGAUACCCGAGUAGUCCUGGCAGUAAACGCUGCGAGCUAGGUGUUGCGUAUCUUUAGAGGUAUGCAGUGUCGAAGCGAAGGUGAUAAGCUCGCCGCCUGGGAAGUAUAGUCGCAAGACCGAAACUUAAAGGAAUUGGCGGGGGAGCACCACAAGGGGUGCGGCGUGCGGUUUAAUCUAAUUCCACGCAGAAAAUCUCACCAGAAGCGACGGCAGAAUGAAAGUCAGUCUAAAGGGCUUACUUGACGAGCCGAGAGGUAGUGCAUGGCCGCCGUCAGCUCGUGCCGUAAGGUGUCCUGUUAAGUCAGGCAACGAGCGAGACCUGUGCUUACAAUUGCUAACGUCAAUUUAAUUGGAGCGAGCACAUUGUAAGGACUGCCCUGGAAACAGGGAGGAAGGUGCAGGCUACGGUAGAUAAGUAUGCUCCGAAUCUUCUGGGCUACACGCGCGCAACAAUGGUUGGGACAAUGGGCUGCAACUCCGAAAGGAGAAGCUAAUCCUCUAAACCCAAUCCAAGUACAGAUUGAGGGUUGCAACUCACCCUCAUGACGAUGGAAUCCCUAGUAAUCGGAAUUCAUUACGUUCCGGUGAAUACGUCCCUGCUCCUUGCACGAGUUAACCGAAUCACUAGU